This 433-nucleotide ribosomal RNA is filed under the name uncultured bacterium. Its description in RNAcentral is "partial 16S ribosomal RNA". It matches the Rfam family "Bacterial small subunit ribosomal RNA", at positions 29 to 507 of the family's 1533-position model. The record is from RNAcentral.
AGCGAACGCUGGCGGCAGGCCUAACACAUGCAAGUCGAACGAACUCUUCGGAGUUAGUGGCGGACGGGUGAGUAACACGUGGGAACGUGCCUUUUGGUUCGGAAUAACUCAGGGAAACUUGUGCUAAUACCGAAUGUGCCCUUCGGGGGAAAGAUUUAUCGCCAUUAGAGCGGCCCGCGUCUGAUUAGCUAGUUGGUGAGGUAACGGCUCACCAAGGCGACGAUCAGUAGCUGGUCUGAGAGGAUGACCAGCCACACUGGGACUGAGACACGGCCCAGACUCCUACGGGAGGCAGCAGUGGGGAAUCUUGCGGAAUGGGCGAAAGCCUGACGCAGCCAUGCCGCGUGAAUGAGGAAGGUCUUAGGAUUGUAAAAUUCUUUCACCGGGGACGAUAAUGACGGUACCCGGAGAAGAAGCCCCGGCUAACUUCGUG